AGAAACUAUGCUGUAGAGGUUCUGAAGUGGCGGCAGAUAAGCAUGGCCUUGCUGGAGAAGCCACCACGGAGAAGGGAAGGUGAACAAUGAAGCACCUGUGGGCUGCUACACUUGGACCUUGCUGAGCUUGCUAGAUGUCUGGCCUGAGCACCAGGCUGAUCCAGCCCACUCGAUGGGGCUCUGACAUGCUGCACCACAGUUGCCAGCCCAGAAUCCUGGCUAGGAUCCUCAUGGAAACUUAUCCAAGGCCCAGGACUCUGACACCUGCUGGAAUCCAGGCCUGAACCUUUCUUUUCCCUCUGGACUGACAGUGGAGUGGGGGAAACUACCCAUUUCUUUGAAGCUAAUCUUAUAUCUGAACAAAAAGAAACAACCCCUCCAAAUAAAACCAAACCUG
RNAcentral lists this long non-coding RNA (397 nucleotides) under Ictidomys tridecemlineatus (thirteen-lined ground squirrel). RNAcentral describes it as "lncRNA (ENSSTOG00000032377.1)". Lineage: Eukaryota; Metazoa; Chordata; Mammalia; Rodentia; Sciuridae. The record is from RNAcentral.